Suricata suricatta (meerkat) is the source of this 548-nucleotide long non-coding RNA. RefSeq lists it as uncharacterized. Lineage: Eukaryota; Metazoa; Chordata; Mammalia; Carnivora; Herpestidae. The record is from RefSeq and is a predicted model, not a curated record. The transcript is spliced from 2 exons.
AGGAUAAAUGCCCCAGAGCUUUGAUCGUCCCCUUGGUGCUUUGUACAGUACCACAGUGAAUGGGGCGGCAUUAGAAGGCAAUGACUUCAGUUAAAGGCUUCUGGAAGUACAUUUGGAGGACCUAUAUUGACUCUAAGGUUACACAUUCCAGAUUGAUGGACCAUCCUGUGACAACCUUUAUGUCAAGUAGGCUUUCUCAGUUUCUCUUCCAUCUCAGCCUCUGGGAGGAAGAUGGAGGUACAGAGAAAAAUCCAUAGAAACAUACAGAUGUAAACGCAGACGUGUUUAGAACAUCACAGAAACACCAAAGAAUAAAAAGCCAAGUAAAAUUCUUCAGUAUGGGUCUGUCCACGUCUCCCAACGCAGAGAGAAGCGAUUUCGAGUGUGUCUACACAAGCGCUGAAGAAAAACACAAACAAACAAACAAACAAACAAACAAAAAACAUACAGAUCUCUCUGAAAAUGGCUUGUAAUUUCUUUGGUUCCUCAAUCAUCUGCGAUGGGCAGUCUAGGCUGUAAAAUAAAGGCUAGACUUUAUGUCAACCAUA